UACGUAGGGUGCAAGCGUUAAUCGGAAUUACUGGGCGUAAAGCGUGCGCAGGCGGCUUUGCAAGACAGAUGUGAAAUCCCCGGGCUCAACCUGGGAACUGCAUUUGUGACUGCAAGGCUAGAGUACGGUGGAGGGGGAUGGAAUUCCGCGUGUAGCAGUGAAAUGCGUAGAUAUGCGGAGGAACACCGAUGGCGAAGGCAAUCCCCUGGACCUGUACUGACGCUCAUGCACGAAAGCGUGGGGAGCAAACAGG
This 253-nucleotide ribosomal RNA is filed under the name uncultured bacterium. Its description in RNAcentral is "partial 16S ribosomal RNA". It matches the Rfam family "Bacterial small subunit ribosomal RNA", at positions 524 to 776 of the family's 1533-position model. The record is from RNAcentral.